GUCUAUGGCCAUGCCACCCUGAACAAGCCCGAUGUCUGAUCUUGGAAGCUAAGCAGGGUUGGGCCUGAUUAGUACUUGGAUGGGAGACCACCUAGGAAGACCAGGUGCUGUAGGCA
This 116-nucleotide ribosomal RNA is filed under the name Pteropus alecto (black flying fox). RNAcentral also lists the same sequence under 1 other name. The record is from RNAcentral. Lineage: Eukaryota; Metazoa; Chordata; Mammalia; Chiroptera; Pteropodidae.